CCUACGGGUGGCAGCAGUGAGGAAUAUUGGUCAAUGGACGAGAGUCUGAACCAGCCAAGUAGCGUGAAGGAUGACUGCCCUAUGGGUUGUAAACUUCUUGUAUAUGGGAAUAAAAUGUUCCACGUGUGGGAUUCUGUACGUACCAUAUGACUAAGGAUCGGCUAACUCCGUGCCAGCAGCCGCGGUAAUACGGAGGAUCCGAGCGUUAUCCGGAUUUAUUGGGUUUAAAGGGAGUGUAGUUGGAUUGGUAAGUCAGUUGUGAAAGUUUGCGGCUCAACCGUAAAAUUGCAGUUGAAACUGGCUGUCUUGAGUACAGGAGAGGUAGGCGGAAUUCGUGGUGUAGCGGUGAAAUGCGUAGAUAUCACGAAGAACACCGGUGGCGAAGGCAGUUCACUGGACUGCAACUGACGGUGAGGCUCGAAAGUGUGGGGAUCAAACAGGAUUAGAUACCCCGGUAGUC
Molecule: ribosomal RNA, 460 nt
Filed under: uncultured bacterium
Lineage: Bacteria
Description: partial 16S ribosomal RNA
Rfam family: Bacterial small subunit ribosomal RNA
Source: RNAcentral